Molecule: long non-coding RNA, 254 nt
Organism: Rhinichthys klamathensis goyatoka
Lineage: Eukaryota; Metazoa; Chordata; Actinopteri; Cypriniformes; Leuciscidae
Exons: 3
Source: RefSeq, a predicted model, not a curated record
UCCUUCCCCAUUUCAAUGCGCUCUCGUUCUCUGACAUGGGCGGCUGUAUCAUUUUAAUUGGGAGCUUAGACUGAGUGAUGCUUCUGAGGAGGUGCGUUGCUCUUUGCUGUGAGGAAGAAAGGUUGCGAGAGCUCUCCAGCUUAUGCCACCCUCAUUAGUGUCCAGCACCUGAAGACACGAGGUCACAAACCCAACGAACUGCCCCAUUUCAUUCAGCUUUGCCGACAUGGAAAGAUGACCACUGUGACCUAAUG